AUUGAACGCUGGCGGCAUGCCUAACACAUGCAAGUCGAACGGCAGCACGGGUGCUUGCACCUGGUGGCGAGUGGCGAACGGGGGAGUAAUACAUCGGAACAUGUCCUGUAGUGGGGGAUAGUCCGGCGAAAGCCGGAUUACUACCGCAUACGAAUUACUGGUGAAAGCGGGGGCCCUUCGGGCCUCGCGCCAUAGGGUUGGCCGAUGGCUGAUUAGCGAGUUGGUGGGGUAAAGGCCUACCAAGGCGACGAUCAGUAGCUGGUCUGAGAGGACGACCAGCCACACUGGGACUGAGACACGGCCCAGACUCCUACGGGAGGCAGCAGUGGGGAAUUUUGGACAAUGGGCGAAAGCCUGAUCCAGCAAUGCCGCGUGUGUGAAGAAGGCCUUCGGGUUGUAAAGCACUUUUGUCCGGAAAGAAAUCCUUGGCCCUAAUACGGGCGGGGGAUGACGGUACCGGAAGAAUAAGCACCGGCUAACUACGUG
This 486-nucleotide ribosomal RNA is filed under the name uncultured bacterium. RNAcentral describes it as "partial 16S ribosomal RNA". It matches the Rfam family "Bacterial small subunit ribosomal RNA", at positions 29 to 507 of the family's 1533-position model. The record is from RNAcentral.